This 759-nucleotide ribosomal RNA is filed under the name uncultured Neisseria sp. RNAcentral describes it as "bacterial SSU rRNA". It matches the Rfam family "Bacterial small subunit ribosomal RNA", at positions 28 to 776 of the family's 1533-position model. Lineage: Bacteria; Pseudomonadati; Pseudomonadota; Betaproteobacteria; Neisseriales; Neisseriaceae. The record is from RNAcentral.
AUUGAACGCUGGCGGCAUGCUUUACACAUGCAAGUCGGACGGCAGCACAGAGGAGCUUGCUUCUUGGGUGGCGAGUGGCGAACGGGUGAGUAACGCAUCGGAACGUACCGAGUAAUGGGGGAUAACUGUCCGAAAGGACAGCUAAUACCGCAUACGCCCUGAGGGGGAAAGCGGGGGAUCUUAGGACCUCGCGUUAUUCGAGCGGCCGAUGUCUGAUUAGCUGGUUGGCGGGGUAAAGGCCCACCAAGGCGACGAUCAGUAGCGGGUCUGAGAGGAUGAUCCGCCACACUGGGACUGAGACACGGCCCAGACUCCUACGGGAGGCAGCAGUGGGGAAUUUUGGACAAUGGGCGCAAGCCUGAUCCAGCCAUGCCGCGUGUCUGAAGAAGGCCUUCGGGUUGUAAAGGACUUUUGUCAGGGAAGAAAAGGAACGUGUUAAUACCAUGUUCUGAUGACGGUACCUGAAGAAUAAGCACCGGCUAACUACGUGCCAGCAGCCGCGGUAAUACGUAGGGUGCGAGCGUUAAUCGGAAUUACUGGGCGUAAAGCGGGCGCAGACGGUUACUUAAGCGGGAUGUGAAAUCCCCGGGCUCAACCCGGGAACUGCGUUCCGAACUGGGUGGCUAGAGUGUGUCAGAGGGGGGUAGAAUUCCACGUGUAGCAGUGAAAUGCGUAGAGAUGUGGAGGAAUACCGAUGGCGGAGGCAGCCCCCUGGGAUAACACUGACGUUCAUGCCCGAAAGCGUGGGUAGCAAACAGG